GCCAGCAUGGCUUAGUGGUUUGAGCAUUGGACUACAACUCUGGAGACCAGGCUUCGAUUCCCGGUCAGCCA
RNAcentral lists this transfer RNA (71 nucleotides) under Phrynosoma platyrhinos (Desert horned lizard). RNAcentral describes it as "tRNA-OTHER". Lineage: Eukaryota; Metazoa; Chordata; Lepidosauria; Squamata; Phrynosomatidae. The record is from RNAcentral.